CUUGAUCGCGCCGAGAAACAGCGGCCGGUCCUCCGGACGGUCCUGACCGUAGGUGGCCAGCACCGCCUGCGCCUC
Molecule: non-coding RNA, 75 nt
Organism: Streptomyces violaceusniger Tu 4113
Lineage: Bacteria; Bacillati; Actinomycetota; Actinomycetes; Kitasatosporales; Streptomycetaceae
Source: Rfam